UGCUGUUAAAAGAAGCCAAGUGAAGCAGGGAACUGAUAAACAAGGUUUGUUAAUAUUUAACGCAAGCCAGCUCCAAGAAGUGGCGGGAGGUGGGGAAGAAGGAGGUUUUAAAUUACUUUUCCUACAGGUGUAACUGAUGUGCAUGUGCAAAUCCAGAGGGCUGAUCCAUACAUCAUUCAUUAAAUCCUGUGGAGUUUGAGCUCCACCAGCCGCUGUGAACUCCUAUCACCUGCAGCUACAGGGUUUGGUUCCCACUUAAAUGGCACAGGUGCCAUGGUAGGGCUGCAGCACUAGACCCACCACAGGUAAGGAGAAUCAGUCUGGGGUCAGGUGGCCACAUCUACUCUUUUAUAAGGAUAGGAAUAGUGGGGUCAGUGCUGUUGCAAGCCAACCUCUGUCUCAGCAGCCCCAUUUUACAUUGCUGUAAGUUCAGUCCAGCUUUCUCAAAUAUCUUUUUGUAGAAAUCUUGGUGACCUGAUCAUCUGAGCAAGGCACUUCUGAGAGAAAACAAAAUCUGUGGUCUUUAAAAAAUUGUACAGAAUGGGGCGUAAUAGCAUACCUAUCGAGGGAUAAAGCAUUAUCUUCUUCGCACAGGAAGGUAUUUAUGGUAAACAGGAUAAUGCUAAAACAUCAUAAACUGUUACGAUAUUCAUCAUUGAUUAAUUCAUAGUCUCUUUCUUACUGGAAUACGGGUUAAAGUUCUGCAACAUUAUUCCCCUAUCCCAUUUUAGAGGGACACGUGAGCAGCACUGAUCAGAGGGGCAGAAAUCAGAUGAGAUGUGUUUAUGAGGUGUCAGGGCAGCAGGAAGCCCGUCCCUGCUUCUGAUGCUAUAUCACACCUGUUUAUCCAUCUGUCCCCAGAGCCUUCCUAUGACCUGCACUGGGUGCUGCCCUGUCACACAGAUCAACCCACCAAGCUUUUAUGUCAUGAAGCAGAUCAGCAUCUUCAAUCCCAUGGUUAAUAGACAAUCCAAACACGAGGUAAAUCUGGACCAAAGGACACACUUUGCCAGAUGGGCGAAAGCAACCUACAUUUUCCUUGGUCCCACUGCCACGACUGAUGACAGAUUUUCCUGCAGAACUCCAGGCAGGCUAGCAUUAAAACAAGAAAAAGCAGUCCAUCCAAACAUUUGUAGUGGCUGAAGCUGGCAGUGAAGUUGUCCCCUUCCUUCAUUACACAUGCUGACCCUGGUGCUCGUCCUUAGGUCAGGUGAGCUCUGCAUGGAAGAUGGAGCUUGCCCUGUUAAUCCUCUGUCAGCUGAGCUGAAUUUAUGACGCAUGGGAUGGGUGUGAGGACGAGGGGAGUGCACCCUACCCUAAUGGCAGCUGCCUGUUCUUCGAGCAGAUGGAGCCUCUCUUGACUGGUAACCCCACUUGAGCGUGACCAAUGGGCUGAGAUACCACACCUGAGAAGGGCCACAGGCAGAUUCACUGUCUGUGCUUUAUCAGCAAAGCUACGAGCAGCCCCUGGUGCCCUCGUGCUGCUUGGGCAGUGUCACCACACAGGGGAGCAGGUUGGUCUCCCUUAGGAGAUCUGCACGCCAAAGCGAGCUGCACUACAGGAUGUUUAUUAUCCUGCUCUGGGUUAUAAGCGCUUAGUUAUGAAUUCUUUGUAGCAAGAAGGUGGCGAUGCAAAAAUAAAUGUUUACAGAUAAA
Molecule: long non-coding RNA, 1656 nt
Organism: Anas platyrhynchos (mallard)
Lineage: Eukaryota; Metazoa; Chordata; Aves; Anseriformes; Anatidae
Source: RefSeq, a predicted model, not a curated record